Molecule: long non-coding RNA, 377 nt
Organism: Rosa rugosa (rugosa rose)
Lineage: Eukaryota; Viridiplantae; Streptophyta; Magnoliopsida; Rosales; Rosaceae
Exons: 5
Source: RefSeq, a predicted model, not a curated record
AGGUGAGAGAACUUGGAAAGCCUGUGGAGCUUGCUGGACAGUAUUACACAGAUGGAGCUGAUGAGGUCAGCUUUCUGAAUAUUACCGGUUUCCAGGACUUCCCUUUGGGUGACUUGCCUAUGCUACAGGUAUUGAGAUAUGCAUCAGAAAAUGUUUUCGUGCCAUUAACAGUUGGAGGUGGCAUUAGAGAUUUUACCGAUGCAACUGGCAGGCACUAUUCUAGUUUGGAAUUGUUGCUUCAGAAUAUUUUAGAUGUGUGGCUGAUAAGAUCUCCAUUGGAAGUGAUGCAGUUUAUGCUGCAGAAGAAUAUUUAAGAACUGGAGUGAAAAGUGGAAAAAGCAGCUUAGAGCAGAUAUCCAGAGUUUACGGAAAUCAGG